GACGAACGCUGGCGGCGUGCUUAACACAUGCAAGUCGAACGGAAAGGCCUCUUUCGGGGGGUACUCGAGUGGCGAACGGGUGAGUAACACGUGAGUAACCUGCCCUUGACUUUGGGAUAACUUCAGGAAACUGGGGCUAAUACCGGAUAGGAGCUCCUGCUGCAUGGUGUGGGUUGGAAAGUUUCGGCGGUUGGGGAUGGACUCGCGGCUUAUCAGCUUGUUGGUGGGGUAGUGGCUUACCAAGGCUUUGACGGGUAGCCGGCCUGAGAGGGUGACCGGCCACAUUGGGACUGAGAUACGGCCCAGACUCCUACGGGAGGCAGCAGUGGGGAAUAUUGCACAAGGGGUGGAAGCCUGAUGCAGCAACGCCGUGGGCGGGAUGACGGCCUUCGGGUUGUAAACCGCUUUCGCUCAUGACGAAGCUUUGUGUGACGGUAGUGGGUAAAGAAGCACCGGCUAACUACGUG
This 467-nucleotide ribosomal RNA is filed under the name uncultured bacterium. RNAcentral describes it as "partial 16S ribosomal RNA". It matches the Rfam family "Bacterial small subunit ribosomal RNA", at positions 28 to 507 of the family's 1533-position model. The record is from RNAcentral.